Molecule: non-coding RNA, 94 nt
Organism: Psilocybe cubensis
Lineage: Eukaryota; Fungi; Basidiomycota; Agaricomycetes; Agaricales; Agrocybaceae
Source: the annotation of a RefSeq genome assembly
GGCGCUGUAGUGUAGUGGUUAUCACUCAAGAUUCUGAUAUCCUUGAAGAAGCCUUGAUGUUCUUGUAACCCCGGUUCGAAUCCGGGCAGUGCCU